UACGGAGGAUGCGAGCGUUAUCCGGAUUUAUUGGGUUUAAAGGGUGCGUAGGCGGGAUGCCAAGUCAGCGGUAAAAAUGCGGUGCUCAACGCCGUCGAGCCGUUGAAACUGGCGCUCUUGAGUGGGCGAGAAGUAUCCGGAAUGCGCGGUGUAGCGGUGAAAUGCAUAGAUAUCACGCAGAACUCCGAUUGCGAAGGCAGCAUACCGGCGCCCUACUGACGCUGAGGCACGAAAGCGUGGGUAUCGAACAGG
RNAcentral lists this ribosomal RNA (252 nucleotides) under uncultured bacterium. RNAcentral describes it as "partial 16S ribosomal RNA". It matches the Rfam family "Bacterial small subunit ribosomal RNA", at positions 524 to 776 of the family's 1533-position model. The record is from RNAcentral.